GAUGAACGCUGGCGGCGUGCCUAAUACAUGCAAGUCGAGCGAACGGACGAGAAGCUUGCUUUUCUGAUGUUAGCGGCGGACGGGUGAGUAACACGUGGAUAACCUACCUAUAAGACUGGGAUAACUUCGGGAAACCGGAGCUAAUACCGGAUAAUAUUUUGAACCGCAUGGUUCAAAAGUGAAAGACGGUCUUGCUGUCACUUAUAGAUGGAUCCGCGCUGCAUUAGCUAGUUGGUAAGGUAACGGCUUACCAAGGCAACGAUGCAUAGCCGACCUGAGAGGGUGAUCGGCCACACUGGAACUGAGACACGGUCCAGACUCCUACGGGAGGCAGCAGUAGGGAAUCUUCCGCAAAGGGCGAAAGCCUGACGGAGCAACGCCGCGUGAGUGAUGAAGGUCUUCGGAUCGUAAAACUCUGUUAUUAGGGAAGAACAUAUGUGUAAGUAACUGUGCGCAUCUUGACGGUACCUAAUCAGAAAGCCACGGCUAACUACGUG
This 497-nucleotide ribosomal RNA is filed under the name uncultured bacterium. RNAcentral's name for it is "partial 16S ribosomal RNA". It matches the Rfam family "Bacterial small subunit ribosomal RNA", at positions 28 to 507 of the family's 1533-position model. The record is from RNAcentral.